Molecule: RNase P RNA, 350 nt
Filed under: Chiayiivirga flava
Lineage: Bacteria; Pseudomonadati; Pseudomonadota; Gammaproteobacteria; Lysobacterales; Lysobacteraceae
Description: Dokdonella sp. CC-YHH031 Bacterial RNase P class A
Rfam family: Bacterial RNase P class A
About the family: Ribonuclease P (RNase P) is a ubiquitous endoribonuclease, found in archaea, bacteria and eukarya as well as chloroplasts and mitochondria. Its best characterised activity is the generation of mature 5'-ends of tRNAs by cleaving the 5'-leader elements of precursor-tRNAs.
Source: Rfam by way of RNAcentral
GAAGUCGGCCAGGCAGUCGCGCCAUCCUUCGGGAUGUCGAGGAAAGUCCGGGCUCCGCAGGGCAGAGUGCCAGGUAACGCCUGGGCGGCGCGAGCCGACGGAAAGUGCAACAGAAAGAUACCGCCCAAGACUGCGCAGGCAGGACGGCAAGGGUGAAAUGGUGCGGUAAGAGCGCACCGCGAGUCCGGCAACGGACCGGCACGGCAAACCCCACUCGGAGCAAGGCCAAAUAGGGAUGCGAUGCCACGGCCCGUGGCGCAUCCGGGUAGGCUGCUUGAGCGCUGCGGCGACGCAGCGCCUAGAGGAAUGACUGUCCCAGACAGAACCCGGCUUAUCGGCCGGCUUCGCCA